AUUGAACGCUGGCGGCAUGCCUUACACAUGCAAGUCGAACGGCAGCACGGGUGCUUGCAUCUGGUGGCGAGUGGCGAACGGGUGAGUAAUACAUCGGAACAUGUCCUGUAGUGGGGGAUAGCCCGGCGAAAGCCGGAUUAAUACCGCAUACGAUCUACGGAUGAAAGCGGGGGACCUUCGGGCCUCGCGCUAUAGGGUUGGCCGAUGGCUGAUUAGCUAGUUGGUGGGGUAAAGGCCUACCAAGGCGACGAUCAGUAGCUGGUCUGAGAGGACGACCAGCCACACUGGGACUGAGACACGGCCCAGACUCCUACGGGAGGCAGCAGUGGGGAAUUUUGGACAAUGGGCGAAAGUCUGAUCCAGCAAUGCCGCGUGUGUGAAGAAGGCCUUCGGGUUGUAAAGCACUUUUGUCCGGAAAGAAAUCCUUGGCCCUAAUACGGUCGGGGGAUGACGGUACCGGAAGAAUAAGCACCGGCUAACUACGUG
This 486-nucleotide ribosomal RNA is filed under the name uncultured bacterium. RNAcentral describes it as "partial 16S ribosomal RNA". It matches the Rfam family "Bacterial small subunit ribosomal RNA", at positions 30 to 507 of the family's 1533-position model. The record is from RNAcentral.